GACGAACGCUGGCGGCGUGCCUAAUACAUGCAAGUAGAACGCUGAAGGAGGAGCUUGCUUCUCCGGAUGAGUUGCGAACGGGUGAGUAACGCGUAGGUAACCUGCCUGGUAGCGGGGGAUAACUAUUGGAAACGAUAGCUAAUACCGCAUAAGAGUAGAUGUUGCAUGUCAUUUGCUUAAAAGGUGCAAUUGCAUCACUACCAGAUGGACCUGCGUUGUAUUAGCUAGUUGGUGAGGUAACGGCUCACCAAGGCGACGAUACAUAGCCGACCUGAGAGGGUGAUCGGCCACGCUGGGACUGAGACACGGCCCAGACUCCUACGGGAGGCAGCAGUAGGGAAUCUUCGGCAAUGGACGGAAGUCUGACCGAGCAACGCCGCGUGAGUGAAGAAGGUUUUCGGAUCGUAAAGCUCUGUUGUAAGAGAAGAACGAGUGUGAGAGUGGAAAGUUCACACUGUGACGGUAUCUUACCAGAAAGGGACGGCUAACUACGUG
This 495-nucleotide ribosomal RNA is filed under the name uncultured bacterium. RNAcentral's name for it is "partial 16S ribosomal RNA". It matches the Rfam family "Bacterial small subunit ribosomal RNA", at positions 28 to 507 of the family's 1533-position model. The record is from RNAcentral.